AAAAAAGCUUCAUGAAAAGAGUCUGAAGGCUGCAUUCAUUUCAUGGAAAAAAAAUCCAUUGUUUAUAUAUGUCUAUAUAUAUAUAAGAGGAGUUAAAUUUGUAUACAAAUGAUCUCUAGUUGUCUAUGGUAGCUUGGGUCUGUUGGAGUUGGUCCAUUUACGCUGGAAAUCUGUGUCUGUCCUCUGAGAUCAGCUACAAAUUUAGAUAACAUUCUCCUCUUUCAAUCCCUAAGAAGAAGAUGACCUGCACCACAACUUCUUGUACAAAGUUCACAUUUUUCAUGGUAGCUGCACUUGUCUUCCAAAUCACUGGUCUCUCCCUCUUCGUUUUUGGCUUCUUCCCUGUCAAACCUGCUCUCUCGGGCGUCAGUGGUUGGGAGAGCUUUUUCGCACCGGGUUGCCAUCCCGUCGAGAAUCAGACUCAGACUCAGACUCAGACCGAGAUGGGUUUGUCUCCCCAUGAACUAAAAUCGCUAUAUCAGGUUUCUUUCUUUUGGCGAUUAAUAAUUGUGAUUUGAGCCUUUCUAGGUACUACCCACUGGCUGACUGGUAGAUUUCCUAAAUGUGUUUUUAUAUUCAGGAUCUCUCUUUGAUUCCUCCCUUAUUUGACCGCCUAAUUUUGAUGGUAAUCAUUUUCUGUUGCUUGCCAUUGAUGUAGUUUUGGAGAGCUAGUUUCAGUUCUUGUUUCAGUUUUGUCAUAUGCAACCGUAUGUCAGUUUAGGUUAUUGAUGGCCUUCCAGCAGAAUUCGUGCUUGGCAAGGAUGGCCAGCCUCCGCGCAAGGAUUUGAUGGAUGCCAUGCCUUACACUCAUUCAUUGCUGUCUAGUGGAAUGGCAAUUGGGUACCAUGCAAAGGCUGCGCCUCCAACUGUUACUAUGCCUCGCUUGAAGGCUAUGGUUUCUGGGGCAAUUGGGGGAUUCUUGGAUGUGGCUUUCAAUUUUAAUACACAGGCUCUGUUGGAUGACAACCUUCUUGGUCAGUUUUUAAGGAUUGGUUGGAAAAUGGUGAUGCUUGGUGAUGAAACAUGGCUUAAGUUGUUUCCAGGAUUAUUUGUGAGACAUGAUGGAGUUAGCAGUUUUUUUGUAGGUUUAUCUACAUCACUGAUUGUUUAUACAUUUCUUUUCUGCUAGUUCACGUUGCAUCUUUCUUAUAAAUGCUCUCUCGGUUGAUCGUGAGUGCUUCUUGUCAAUGUUGAUGUCAUGCUGGUUAAACUUUUGAGUUCUUACAUAUUCUGUCACCAGUAUGGCUUGUAGAAAUUUUGCAUAUUCAAUGAAGAUUGUAGACUAGUUAUUGAAAUCUGGAGGGGUCUAUUUAGUUCCAUGUUUUCUUAAAACAUUCUUCUAUCCUAUCCUAACUGAUCAUUUCUGUUUGGGGUAGGCGGAAAUCUCAAGUCAAUAAAUAAAAUGUUUUUUGUUGUUAAUUUUAGGUGUAUUAGCAGGCCGUCUUGCUUAUUAUAUAAACAGUUUGGGUGUGACUUGUUUAUAAUGUAAUUCUCGCUUCUACUUAAAGUUUUAUCUCUCUACAGGUUAAAGACACAGUACAAGUAGAUCAAAAUGUUUCUCGGCAUUUGGAGAAUGAGCUUAGCAGGGAUGACUGGAAUCUUCUGGUUGGUGUUUGCGUUUGUUUGUCAAUAAUUUACUUUGAUUCUAGACAUUGAAUUUACAGCCUUUGUAAGACUUGAUAAUAGUGCACUUUCAUACUGCUUUUUCAAACUUUUUAAAUUAUUUUUUUUUUCAAUUUUAAAUAUAAUACUCUCUUGCACAUGUUGAUUUUUCGGUUUGGGGAUAUUGGUUCAUUUUUCUGCUAAAGUUAACCAAUUUGUUGCGGCAUUGAAGAACUAGAUUGAUAUCUUUGUUUUGUGCUUUUAUGUAGUUGGUAAUGAGUAAUUCAAUUUCUUUGAGGCAUGUUGCAUUUUUCUCAAGUGGUUUGAUUUUCAUUCGAGUUUAUUUCUAGGUUCUUCAUUAUCUAGGCUUGGAUCAUGUUGGACAUAUUGGUGGGCGCAGCAGGUAUUUCCUUGUCCAUUGGCACCAACAAUUCUAUUAAUGAGUUUUUAGCUUUUAUUUCUUGAGCUUCACUAGGAUGUUUGUGCAACUACUUUAGUUCCUUAAUGGGUCCAAAACUUCUGGAGAUGGAUGAAGUGGUGAAGAUGAUUCAUUUAAGCACUAUCCAGACUCACGAUAAUGAUCGAGGACGGACACUUCUGGUGGUAGUAAGUGAUCAUGGCAUGACAGAAAGUGGUAAUCAUGGGGGUUCUUCAUAUGAAGAAACUGACUCUUUAGCUCUUUUUAUUGGCCUGGAAAAUCAGGUCUCCAUCUCUCAUUAUGCAUCAGCUACUCAUAAUUCCAUUCUCCAGGUUGACAUUGCUCCAACACUGGCUCUUCUAUAUGGUGUGCCAAUUCCUAAAAACAAUGUCGGUGUCCUGAUUUCAGGAACUUUUGAUUGUUUGACAGAUCAUCAACAGCUGAGGGCACUGGAGUUGAAUUCCUGGCAGUUAUACCGAUUAGUGGAAGCACAGUUACCCGGUCUUUCAUGUGGAGAUUUCUCCUGCAGUGGCUUCAUUGAUGAUCUGGGUUCAGGAAGUGGGGAAUAUAGUGGCAGUAUGGAGAAGAUACUUUGUUGCUUAUUUAUGAAUGCUGCGAAUCUUCAUAAUUCCUGGAAGUAUAAGAAAGAAACAGGGUUUGAAAGCAGGGAAGACUAUAGAAGCACCGUUGCAGCAUAUCAUGAGUUUCUGAAAGCUGCAAGUGAGUGGUUAUCACGCAGAGUCACUGAUAAACCUGUUCCCUUACUUGCUUUUGGGGUUGUGGCAAUGGCCUUAUCAUGUUUGAUAUUUUUGGAUCUCAUAACUUGCAUGAGCAGAGAAGUUUACACUGGGGAGAAGCAACACCUUUCUGGUUCGAGUAACAGCAAAAUUAGAUGGUGUUUAGAUGAAGCCUUUAUUUUAGGUGUUGUUUUGAUCCUUGUUAUGAGUAUGGGUUCGAGUUCUAUGGUAGAGGAAGAGCAAUAUAUUUGGAAUUUUGUUAUAUCUACAUUGUAUCUGUUACUACUCCGAAAAGCAGUACAAUCGCACAGUGGGAGAAGUGGAAGUGCAUUAUUUUUGAAGGCACAGAAUAAAAGAAGUGAUUUUCAACUGUGUGCCAUCUUUUUGCUUCUUAUUUCUGGACGAAUUUUGAGGGGUUGGCAUCAGGGUGGUGUAAAUUGGACUCAUCUUCCGGACAUUUCAAAGUGGCUUGAACAGGCUGGGAGUAACCUUAUAAGAUCAAUUCAACUAACCUCAGUCCUUCUGAUGAUGGGUUUGGGCUCAUUUGCUUUAUUUUUGUUUGUAACUAAUACAAAGCUUGUUAGAGUGGUGGUACUUUUUUUUUUGAUAUCUGGAUUUCUGGUUUUAUGGCAUAUUAUGGAGUACCAAGACAAUGAAUUUGUGUCAUCCAAUUACCAUGCUACACUGCUGGCACAGGUAAUCUAUGCAACGCUGGGUAUUGGCACAAUUGGCUUUGUUGUGGCCUUACCAUGGCUUAUACCCAUUCAGAUAUCCAGUACAUAUUGUAAACAUAAAAUCAACUCAUCAACUUUAGUUUCUGUUGACAUUCAAUACAAGUUUCCAUUGCUCGAAUUUAGAGAUUCUUCAUAUUUAAUUGGGUUGGCAUACAUGUUAUGUUGGUGUCUUCUGCAACUUUUGCUCCAACAGCCAAUCAAUUCAAUGCCUAUCUUUUUGCUUCUCAUGCAAAUCUUUACCAGCAUGCUGUAUUACUCCUCCAGCGGGCCACAGAAUAAGGAAUGGCUUGAGGUUAGUUCCUAUAUCAUGUCUUGCUAUGACUAACAACGGGAUCUGUUAGCUUGAACUCUUGUUAACUUUGACUGAAUUGUUUGCAUUGUUUAGUCAAUUGCAUCAAGAAUUAGGCGGAAGUUGCCAACUAAUGCUUGUAGAGUCUUUGAUAUCUUAAGCUGGAAUGGUAUGAGAAGAUUAGUGUUUGAUAUCAAAUUUCCUGACUCGAGUUUAAUGUGAAUAAGAUUUGUGUUCCCUAAAGAAUGUGAUGGAUACUAGUGACCUUGUUCUUGCUGUGUCUUUGCAUUAAUUUGUUGGUUUGGGUCAAAUAGAUAUGCAUUGAAUUAUGUUCUGAUAAAAAAGUUGCGAAUUUUGUUUGUGAAAAGGCUGACUCCAUCCCAAUUUGCAAGUACUAAUGUUGGGUGUUUUUUAUUUUAUGGGUUCUCUUAGGUUGCUUUGUUGUACUAUAUGGGAAUGGCGGGACAUUUCGCUCUUGGGAACAGCAAUACAUUAGCCACCAUUGAUGUCGCUGGAGCUUUUAUUGGCCUCUCAAGUCACUCGACCUUACUUUCUGGUAUUUUGAUGUUUAUUAUCACCUAUGCAUCCCCCAUGCUAGUUCUUCUUAGCAUGGUGAUGUACAUCUCUGUGAAGGACACGAGCUAUCUGGCAAUUCCACAAAGUGUAGAUUUAGAGCAAUUUCUAAAAAUGAUGCUUGGCUUUCCUUGCCUAGUUCCGCUAGGCUUGAAUUCCAUUCUGUUGACUGCAUACACUGUUGUAUUGCUGUUAAUGAGGAACCAUUUAUUUGUUUGGAGUGUCUUUUCUCCCAAGUACUUGUAUGUGUGCGCGACAACUGUUUGCAUCUAUAUAGGGGUCUUUGUGGUGGCUGCAACUGAGAUUUAUAUAUAUAUGGUGAUAGCCUUUCGGAGAAAGAUUCAGGUUUCAAUCAGUAAUGGCAUUCUAUAGCUUCGGAUGACAAAAAACCCCAGUUUUGAUACUCUCUUAACCAAUCAUCACUGAUCAGUUCUUGAGACAUCAGCUGACCAUUUUCCCCUUCAUUUUUUUUUCGUUCUCUAUAUAUUAUUUCUUUGAUUAUUGAGAAAAAUAUGGUAUACAGUACACACUUGUAAUGAGCGAUACAGAAAGUUGCUUUAUUCAAUAGUUUGGCCAACUCAGUUCUAGUGGUGUUCAUGUGAUUAAAUGAUGGGAAUGUGGAUUUUAGUCCUAAAUUUCACCUUGAAUUUUGUACAUUUUAAUUUUGCAAUGUGGUAUUUUGAACUAUAAUUCCAUGCAAUCCAAUAUUAGAA
This 5066-nucleotide unclassified non-coding RNA is filed under the name Hevea brasiliensis (rubber tree). The record is from RNAcentral. Lineage: Eukaryota; Viridiplantae; Streptophyta; Magnoliopsida; Malpighiales; Euphorbiaceae.